Molecule: ribosomal RNA, 760 nt
Filed under: uncultured Treponema sp.
Lineage: Bacteria; Pseudomonadati; Spirochaetota; Spirochaetia; Treponematales; Treponemataceae
Description: bacterial SSU rRNA
Rfam family: Bacterial small subunit ribosomal RNA
Source: RNAcentral
AACGAACGCUGGCGGCGCGUCUUAAGCAUGCAAGUCGAACGGUAAGGGAGAGCUUGCUCUCCCCUAGAGUGGCGGACUGGUGAGUAACGCGUGGGUGACCUGCCCUGAAGAUGGGGAUAGCUAGUAGAAAUAUUAGAUAAUACCGAAUGUGCUCAUUUACAUAAAGGUAAAUGAGGAAAGGAGCUACGGCUCCACUUCAGGAUGGGCCCGCGUCCCAUUAGCUAGUUGGUGAGGUAAAGGCCCACCAAGGCAACGAUGGGUAUCCGGCCUGAGAGGGUGAACGGACACAUUGGGACUGAGAUACGGCCCAAACUCCUACGGGAGGCAGCAGCUAAGAAUCUUCCGCAAUGGACGAAAGUCUGACGGAGCGACGCCGUGUGAAUGAAGAAGGCCGAAAGGUUGUAAAAUUCUUUUGCAGAUGAAGAAUAAGAAGAAGAGGGAAUGCUUCUUUGAUGACGGUAGUCAUGCGAAUAAGCCCCGGCUAAUUACGUGCCAGCAGCCGCGGUAACACGUAAGGGGCGAGCGUUGUUCGGAAUUAUUGGGCGUAAAGGGUAUGUAGGCGGUUAGGUAAGCCUGGUGUGAAAUCUACGAGCUCAACUCGUAAACUGCAUUGGGUACUGCUUGACUUGAAUCACGGAGGGGAAACCGGAAUUCCAGUGUAGGGGUGGAAUCUGUAGAUAUUUGGAAGAACACCGGUGGCGAAGGCGGGUUUCUGGCCGAUGAUUGACGCUGAUAUACGAAGGUGCGGGGAGCAAACAGG